This 422-nucleotide ribosomal RNA is filed under the name uncultured bacterium. Its description in RNAcentral is "bacterial SSU rRNA". It matches the Rfam family "Bacterial small subunit ribosomal RNA", at positions 355 to 774 of the family's 1533-position model. The record is from RNAcentral.
UGAGGAAUAUUGGUCAAUGGGGGCAACCCUGAACCAGCCAAGUCGCGUGAAGGAUGAAGGUCUUAUGGAUUGUAAACUUCUUUUACACGGGAAUAAAGCGGGGGACGUGUCCCUCUUUGCAUGUACCGUGUGAAUAAGGAUCGGCUAACUCCGUGCCAGCAGCCGCGGUAAUACGGAGGAUCCGAGCGUUAUCCGGAUUUAUUGGGUUUAAAGGGUGCGCAGGCGGGAUGUUAAGUCGGCGGUGAAAUUUUGCAGCUCAACUGUAAAAGUGCCUUCGAUACUGGCCUUCUUGGAUGUGGAUGAAGUAGGCGUAAUUUGUGGUGUAGCGGUGAAAUGCUUAGAUAUCACGAGGAACUCCGAUUGCGCAGGCAGCUUACUAAGCCGCAACUGACGCUCAUGCACGAAGGCGUGGGGAUCAAACA